RNAcentral lists this ribosomal RNA (382 nucleotides) under uncultured prokaryote. RNAcentral describes it as "bacterial SSU rRNA". It matches the Rfam family "Archaeal small subunit ribosomal RNA", at positions 339 to 725 of the family's 1478-position model. The record is from RNAcentral.
GCGCGAAAACUUUACAAUGCGAGCAAUCGUGAUAAGGGAACUCCGAGUGCCUGUAAAAUCAGGCUGUCCGCCAGUGUAAAUAACUGGCGAAGAAAGGGCCGGGCAAGACCGGUGCCAGCCGCCGCGGUAAUACCGGCGGCUCGAGUGGUGGCCACUAUUACUGGGCUUAAAGCGUUCGUAGCUGGCCUGUUAAGUCUCUGGGGAAAUCUUCCGGCUCAACCGGAAGGCGUCUCAGGGAUACUGGCAGGCUAGGGACCGGAAGAGGUGAGAAGUACUCCAGGGGUAGGAGUGAAAUCCUGUAAUCCUUGGGGGACCACCUGUGGCGAAGGCGUCUCACCAGGACGGCUCCGACAGUGAGGAACGAAAGCUGGGGGAGCAAACA